CUGGUUAGGCCCCUCCUUCCCCUUGUGUGUGUGUUUCCUUUUUAGGAAGGAGUGACAGCAGACAGCAGCGGCAGGUGUAGACAGUUCUCAUCUGAGCAAUCAGCAGAAGUGGGAGCAGAUGUGCAGAACCAAUCAGUCCACCACUCCAUCAUUUUAUAACCUGACUCUUCUCUUCAUUCUUCGUCGGAUCGUAAAAAGCAACUACCUAGACUGCUCCCAGAUUUGGACUCCUCGGACCCACCUGCCUACCGGCCUUCCCCCACCGUCAGGAUUAGUCACCCGGUUCAUUCUCCAACCAUUCCUCCGUCGACUACCAGCUCCUGUCCUCACCAGCCGUCGCCGCUGCAGCCGCACGUCCAUUCCUCCGUUCCAUCGUCGAGCCACAGCCAGCCAUCCCUCCUAGAUGCCAGCUGAGCACCCGUCCGAGCAGACUCCGUUAGUGUUUAUAGUUCUUAAAGAAUAACAGUGCUAUAGUAGUUUUUUGUUUACCGGACCCCGGCUCAUAGUUAAAGUUCCAGUAGCCGUAAUGUUUAGCUUCCUAGUUGUUGGUUAUUCCACUUAAAACAUUUGAGUUUCUAGUUUGCGUGUCUUGUGUAACACUUUAGUUUGGGUGGCUUCCUUAAUAGGCCUUUUGUUUUGAGCUUGCUGAAGUAAUUUGAGCUACUGUAAGCUGUAGUUCUCCUGCCCAGGAAUUACCUGUUGUGGGUCCGCCAGCCACUAGAGGCAACAAUCAGUUCUAGUUAAAGUCGUUAUCCCAUUGUUCCGGUACUCCCGGUAUUUUGAGUUUCUCUGGGAAUUGUAGUUCUUUAUCCCUUGUUUUUGAAUAAAUGACUAUUUAUGCAUAGUCUGACUCCAUCUCUUCCCUGCAUCUGAGCUUUUAAGAUAACAAAACCUAACGGAUGUAUUUAAUUUUGAAAAAAGCAUUUAGCCAUACUUAAAGCUUUAAGUGCUUUAUUAACACGGAACUAAAAAUUUUGUAUUGUUUUAUUAUCACAGGUUCUGUCUGAAAAGAGGUGGCAUCAUUUUAAACAGUGAAAUCAAACUAACAAAAUGUAAUGACCAACCAGUGAGCAAUACUGGAUUCUGCAAAAACAUAAACAACUUUUUUAAAAUCGAAA
Molecule: long non-coding RNA, 1118 nt
Organism: Amphiprion ocellaris (clown anemonefish)
Lineage: Eukaryota; Metazoa; Chordata; Actinopteri; Pomacentridae
Source: Ensembl